UUUAAAAAGUGCUAGGGAUAUGGCUCAAUGGUUAAGUGCCCCUGGGUUCAAUCUCUGGUACCAAAAAAAAAAAAAAAAAGUUUUGUGCUUCAUAUGGUUACAGGGUAUUCUUAUGGACUUAUGAAAAACUUUUAAAACCAGAGAACAGAUUGUUGCAUAUUAUAAAUACACUAAAUAAUGCCACUGGAUUGUACACUUAUAAAUGGUUACUUAUAUUCAUGUGACUUGAAUGUAAAUAAGUUUAAAAAAAAAAAAAGACGAGCGAAAAGGAGCCAAAAGAUAAUGAUAGGAAAAGAUGUUCAGUUCCAUUGAUAAUGCAAAUUACAACCAAAAUGAGAUAUUACUAAGUGUACUAGAUAAAAAGUUCAGUGAUUCCAAAUGUUUGCAAAGGUGUAGAGCAAUCAAUGGGCAAACAUAUACUAUUGGAAGUAGAAACUCAUACAACCACUUUGAAAGAGUUUACUAUUUUCUAGGUGAACAUGCAUUUCCCUAUGGUCCCAGUAAUUCCUCUGCUAGGAGAAAACAUGUCCUAGAAUGUUCAGCAAAAAGCUAGAAACAUAAUUGUCCAUUAAAAUAUAUUGUAUAAAAUACACUAAUAUAGGGCUGGGGUUGUGGCUCAGUGGUAGAGUGCUCACAUAGUAUGUGUGUCUGAGACACUGGGUUCCAUCCUCAGCACCACAUAAAAACAAAUAAAUAAAAUAAAGGUAUUGUGUCCAUCUAUAACAAAAAUAUUGAAAAAAAUACACUAAUAUAUAGUUAUAAAGUUUAUGAAAUGAAGUUACAUGGCAGAGAAAAUUAGCAAGAUAUACCUUAAUUAUUCAACAUGAAUUAAUUAAUAACUAAAGGUAACAAAUGGAUAGUGUGAUUCACUUUAUAUAUAGUUUAAAAACAGGCAAAACUAAAUAUUCUUUCAGAAGUCAUAUAAAGUUGAUAAAAAAUUUUAAAAUUACAGAGGAAUGGUUUUUGCAAAAUUCAGCUUCACAGUUACACCUCAGUGGGAAGUGAAAGAGAUUAAUUGGUUUGAGCAGGCAGAGAGCUUUCAAGUAUCAGCAAUGUUUCAUUACUUUAAACUUCAUGAUGACAGCAGCACCCCAGAAGCUUCUUCUGAUGGUUUUGCUAGCAAAUGUUUCUGAAUUCAACAAAUUGGUAAAGAUAAUGAGGAUAAUCACAGCCAUGAUUUCAGCUCCAGGAGAAGAGAGAUACAAAAGUAGAAAAGGUACUACUACCAGUAACCUGUUUGUUGCCUCCAAGUCCAAUACUUUGAAGCUCAUGAAUGAAUUGAGAAAAACUGAAUGUCAUGGUUCUGCUUAACUGCAAACUAAAGUUAUUGGUCUUGGGAAAGAACAUGUGCGUGUGAAUGGAAUUCAUGUUCUAUGGCACAUCAGCAAGUGAAUUUCCAAGACUUUUCUCUUAUAAACUAACUGUUCAAGUUAGUAAAUGGUCAUUUCAAUUUUUCUAUUAUUUUUGCUUUUCUUGAAGAAGAUGGAAGGAAAGAGAGAGGAAAAGUAUUAAAAGAAGAAAGAAAAGAAAGGAAACUUGUCAUAGUUCCUUAUUAUAAAAAAGCACAGGUUCUAUAUAGAGAGUUACGAAAAAUUAUACUGUGAAUGGAUAAUUAUGAAUGUAAUGCACUCCACUAUUGUCAUGUAUGUAAGAAAUAAAUAAAAAACAAACAAAAAAAACCA
This is a long non-coding RNA of Ictidomys tridecemlineatus (thirteen-lined ground squirrel), 1682 nucleotides long. RefSeq lists it as uncharacterized. NCBI's taxonomy places the organism in Eukaryota, Metazoa, Chordata, Mammalia, Rodentia, Sciuridae. The record is from RefSeq and is a predicted model, not a curated record.